Molecule: ribosomal RNA, 440 nt
Filed under: uncultured bacterium
Lineage: Bacteria
Description: bacterial SSU rRNA
Rfam family: Bacterial small subunit ribosomal RNA
Source: RNAcentral
CCUACGGGGUGCAGCAGUGGGGAGUAUUGGACAAUGGGCGAAAGCCUGAUCCAGCAAUGCCGCGUGUGUGCAGAAGGUCUUCGGUUUGUAAAGCUCUUUCGACGGGGACGAUGAUGACGGUACCCGUGGAAGAAGCCCCGGCUAACUUCGUGCCAGCAGCCGCGGUAAUACGAAGGGGGCUAGCGUUGCUCGGAAUGACUGGGCGUAAAGGGCGCGUAGGCGGUUUAUGCAGUCAGAUGUGAAAUCCCCGGGCUUAACCUGGGAACUGCAUUUGAGACGCAUAGACUAGAGGUCGAGAGAGGGUUGUGGAAUUCCCAGUGUAGAGGUGGAAUUCGUAGAUAUUGGGAAGAACACCGGUGGCGAAGGCGGCAACCUGGCUCGAUACUGACGCUGAGGCGCGAAAGCGUGGGGAGCAAACAGGAUUAGAUACCCCUGUAGUC